RNAcentral lists this ribosomal RNA (253 nucleotides) under uncultured bacterium. Its description in RNAcentral is "partial 16S ribosomal RNA". It matches the Rfam family "Bacterial small subunit ribosomal RNA", at positions 524 to 776 of the family's 1533-position model. The record is from RNAcentral.
UACAUGUGGGGCAAGCGUUGUUCGGAAUGAUUGGGCGUAAAGCGUCCGCAGGUGGCUGUGUAAGUCUGCUGUUAAAUAGUGAGGCUCAACCUCAUAAAGGCAGUGGAAACUACACGGCUAGAGUGCGUUCGGGGCAGAGGGAAUUCCUGGUGUAGCGGUGAAAUGCGUAGAGAUCAGGAAGAACACCGGUGGCGAAAGCGCUCUGCUAGGCCGCAACUGACACUGAGGGACGAAAGCUAGGGGAGCGAAUGGG